GUUUGCACUUGUCGGGGAAGGGUGAGAACCUUCGAUUAAGGUUCGGCUCGAGCGAAAGCGAGAGAACGUUGCCAACGGCAACGGCCCGUAGGG
Molecule: small RNA, 93 nt
Filed under: Salmonella enterica
Lineage: Bacteria; Pseudomonadati; Pseudomonadota; Gammaproteobacteria; Enterobacterales; Enterobacteriaceae
Also listed under: 1 other name
Description: partial RtT sRNA
Rfam family: RtT RNA
About the family: This family represents a bacterial cis-regulatory element known as RtT RNA. The exact function of RtT is unknown although it is thought that it may be involved in changing the cellular response in relation to amino acid starvation.
Source: RNAcentral